RNAcentral lists this ribosomal RNA (1116 nucleotides) under uncultured Polynucleobacter sp. RNAcentral describes it as "bacterial SSU rRNA". It matches the Rfam family "Bacterial small subunit ribosomal RNA", at positions 383 to 1497 of the family's 1533-position model. Lineage: Bacteria; Pseudomonadati; Pseudomonadota; Betaproteobacteria; Burkholderiales; Burkholderiaceae. The record is from RNAcentral.
CUGAUCCAGCAAUGCCGCGUGAGUGAAGAAGGCCUUCGGGUUGUAAAGCUCUUUUGUCAGGGAAGAAACAGCAGCUCUAACACAGUCUGCGAAUGACGGUACCUGAAGAAUAAGCACCGGCUAACUACGUGCCAGCAGCCGCGGUAAUACGUAGGGUGCAAGCGUUAAUCGGAAUUACUGGGCGUAAAGCGUGCGCAGGCGGUUAUGUAAGACAGGCGUGAAAUCCCCGGGCUUAACCUGGGAAUUGCGCUUGUGACUGCAUAGCUAGAGUAUGUCAGAGGGGGGUAGAAUUCCACGUGUAGCAGUGAAAUGCGUAGAGAUGUGGAGGAAUACCAAUGGCGAAGGCAGCCCCCUGGGAUAAUACUGACGCUCAUGCACGAAAGCGUGGGGAGCAAACAGGAUUAGAUACCCUGGUAGUCCACGCCCUAAACGAUGCUGACUAGUUGUUCGGGAAUUUAUUCCUGAGUAACGUAGCUAACGCGUGAAGUCAGCCGCCUGGGGAGUACGGUCGCAAGAUUAAAACUCAAAGGAAUUGACGGGGACCCGCACAAGCGGUGGAUGAUGUGGAUUAAUUCGAUGCAACGCGAAAAACCUUACCUACCCUUGACAUGCCACUAACGAAGUAGAGAUACAUUAGGUGCCCGUAAGGGAAAGUGGACACAGGUGCUGCAUGGCUGUCGUCAGCUCGUGUCGUGAGAUGUUGGGUUAAGUCCCGCAACGAGCGCAACCCUUGUCUUUAGUUGCUACGCAAGAGCACUCUAAAGAGACUGCCGGUGACAAACCGGAGGAAGGUGGGGAUGACGUCAAGUCCUCAUGGCCCUUAUGGGUAGGGCUUCACACGUCAUACAAUGGUGCAUACAGAGGGUUGCCAACCCGCGAGGGGGAGCUAAUCUCAGAAAAUGCAUCGUAGUCCGGAUCGUAGUCUGCAACUCGACUACGUGAAGCUGGAAUCGCUAGUAAUCGCGGAUCAGAAUGUCGCGGUGAAUACGUUCCCGGGUCUUGUACACACCGCCCGUCACACCAUGGGAGUGGGUUUUGCCAGAAGCCGUUAGCCUAACCGCAAGGAGGGCGACGACCACGGCAGGGUUCAUGACUGGGGUGAAGUCGUAACAAGGU